RNAcentral lists this ribosomal RNA (460 nucleotides) under uncultured bacterium. Its description in RNAcentral is "partial 16S ribosomal RNA". It matches the Rfam family "Bacterial small subunit ribosomal RNA", at positions 338 to 795 of the family's 1533-position model. The record is from RNAcentral.
CCUACGGGUGGCAGCAGUGAGGAAUAUUGGUCAAUGGACGCAAGUCUGAACCAGCCAUGCCGCGUGCAGGAAGACGGCUCUAUGAGUUGUAAACUUCUUUUGUACGAGGGUAAACGCAGAUACGCGUCUCUGGCUGAAAGUAUCGUACGAAUAAGGAUCGGCUAACUCCGUGCCAGCAGCCGCGGUAAUACGGAGGAUUCAAGCGUUAUCCGGAUUUAUUGGGUUUAAAGGGUGCGUAGGCGGUCGGAUAAGUUAGAGGUGAAAUCCCGAGGCUCAACUUCGGAAUUGCCUCUGAGACUGUUCGGCUAGAGAGUAGUAGCGGUAGGCGGAAUGUAUGGUGUAGCGGUGAAAUGCUUAGAGAUCACACAGAACCCCGAUUGCGAAGGCAGCUUACCAAGCUACUUCUGACGUUGAGGCACGAAAGCGUGGGGAGCGAACAGGAUUAGAUACCCUGGUAGUC